UUGGGCUGUCGCCAAGCGGUAAGGCACAGGACUUUGACUCCUGCACUCGAAGGUUCAAAUCCUUCCAGUCCAGU
Molecule: transfer RNA, 74 nt
Filed under: Clostridia bacterium
Lineage: Bacteria; Bacillati; Bacillota; Clostridia
Description: tRNA-Gln
Rfam family: tRNA
About the family: Transfer RNA (tRNA) molecules are approximately 80 nucleotides in length. Their secondary structure includes four short double-helical elements and three loops (D, anti-codon, and T loops).
Source: RNAcentral